AGCGAACGCUGGCGGCGUGCCUAACACAUGCAAGUCGAGCGAGAAAGGGGUGGCAACACCCUGAGUAAAGCGGCGAACGGGUGAGUAACGCGUGGGCAAUCUACCUUCCAGUCUGGGAUAACCUUCCGAAAGGGGGGCUAAUACCGGAUGAUGUCCUGUUGGGGCAUCCUGAGGGGAGCAAAGGGGGCGACCCGCAAGGGGCUCUCGCUGGAGGAGGAGCCUGCGUCCGAUUAGCAGUUGGUGGGGUAACGGCUCACCAAGGCGACGAUCGGUAGCCGGCCUGAGAGGGUGACCGGCCACACUGGGACUGAGACACGGCCCAGACUCCGUACGGGAGGCAGCAGUGGGGAAUCUUGCGCAAUGGGCGAAAGCCUGACGCAGCGACGCCGC
Molecule: ribosomal RNA, 390 nt
Filed under: uncultured bacterium
Lineage: Bacteria
Description: bacterial SSU rRNA
Rfam family: Bacterial small subunit ribosomal RNA
Source: RNAcentral